CCUACCAUGCAAGUCGAGCGCACCUUCGGGUGAGCGGCGGACGGGUUAGUAACGCCCUGUUGAACGUACCCUUUUCUACGGAAUAGCCUUUGGAAACCAAGAGUAAUACCGUAUACGCCCUUUGGGGGAAAGAUUUAUCGGAGAAGGAUCGGCCCGCGUUAGAUUAGAUAGUUGGUGGGGUAACGGCCUACCAAGUCUACGAUCUAUAGCUGGUUUUAGAGGAUGAUCAGCAACACUGGGACUGAGACACGGCCCAGACUCCUACGGGAGGCAGCAGUGGGGAAUCUUAGACAAUGGGCGCAAGCCUGAUCUAGCCAUGCCGCGUGAGUGAUGAAGGCCUUAGGGUCGUAAAGCUCUUUCGCCUGUGAUGAUAAUGACAGUAGCAGGUAAAGAAACCCCGGCUAACUCCGUGCCAGCAGCCGCGGUAAUACGGAGGGGGUUAGCGUUGUUCGGAAUUACUGGGCGUAAAGCGCACGUAGGCGGAUUAGUAAGUUAGAGGUGAAAUCCCAGGGCUCAACCCUGGAACUGCCUUUAAUACUGCUAGUCUUGAGUUCGAGAGAGGUAAGUGGAAUUCCGAGUGUAGAGGUGAAAUUCGUAGAUAUUCGGAGGAACACCA
Molecule: ribosomal RNA, 616 nt
Filed under: uncultured bacterium
Lineage: Bacteria
Description: bacterial SSU rRNA
Rfam family: Bacterial small subunit ribosomal RNA
Source: RNAcentral